AGAGCCCCCAACGCAGAGCAAUACCCACCACUCUGCUCAAUAAACCCUAGAUCUCUCCACCGUAGCAAUGUCUCUCGACAAAUCCUCUUUAAACCAGACCAAGCCGCUCCGGUGGGGUGAGCUGGACGAGGACGAUGGCGAGGAUUUGGACUUCCUCUUGCCGCCCAAACAAGUAAUCGGUCCCGACGAGAAUGGGAUCAAGAAGGUAAUCGAAUACAAGUUCAACGACGACGGUAAUAAGGUUAAGAUCACCACUACUACCCGUGUCCGGAAGCUCGCCAAGGCUAGGUUGAGUAAGAGAGCUAUGGAACGCAGAAAUUGGGCAAAGUUUGGAGAUGCCGUCCAUGAGGAUGUUGGAAGUAGGCUUACUAUGGUUUCCACCGAGGAGAUCCUGCUUGAAAGACCUAGGGCUCCAGGUUUAUUUCUGUAUAUAAUAUUUGACGUUGGAUUGGUUUUAUUUGAUUUUUUUUUCUUGAUUACUUUGACAGAUGAGGUAGGUAAAUUAAAUUGUUUUAGGCUUUAUUUUUGGUAUGUCUCGCAGUUUCGUUCAGCAAAAGUAUUGAUUUUAUGGCGUUAAUAGGAUUUUAUGUAUAAAGGAUGAAGUUUUGACGUGAUGAUAAUUUCGUUACUUGGAUGCUCUUAUGGAAAAUCAAGGAAAAAUAAGAUAAUUGAAAUUGUUUUGUUUUGGCCUAGAAUUGUUUUAGAUUUAAUGGUUGUGAAAGCUGUGAUCUUUGUUGAAUUGAUUUGGUGAUUUUCUCUUCGGUUGAGAAUUGUGAGGGAGCAAAGGAAAAUAAAUUUGGGUAAUUAUCUGGUUCUUUUGUGUACUAUUAUAUUGGAAUUUCUAUAGUUUUGCAUGACAAGAAUAAUUAGUUUAUAUUACAGAAGCAGGAACUGGGGAUAUAUUGCAUAGAUGAAGUGCAACUAUGUUUUUUUGAGAGAAAAUUUUGAUGAAAAACACUAACUUUAGAAGUGAAUGUUUUGCACACAACUUAUGCUGAGUUGUGUUCAUUAACUUGUCUGGGUUUUAAGCAUUUUAUGCUCAGUGCAACAGAGUGUUGGUGAUGUUUUCCUCCUCUUUUUCCUGUGUUUAAGUGUUUCUAGCUGUGUUUAAUUUGGUUACGUUGUUUGAGUUUACCUCCUUAGGAUUUCAAUGUAUUAUUUGGUUGUGGUGACCAAUUAGCCAAUCACAUAUUAGCCAUGUGGCUUUUAUUUGAUGUGAAUGGUCAGUAAGCUCACCAAAAUUAUGUGUUGGUGGCAUCUAAUGGUGAACAAAAAGUAUGGUUUCUCUUUUUAUGUUACCAACUACAUCCACUGUAAAUGAAUUUUGUAGGACAGUGGUACUGUUGACGUCACUUUCUUGGUAUUAUUUUGUUUCUUACUGUACUGUAUUUCACCAUCUGGUUUAUGUUUGCUGUGUUAAGGUUUGCAUGUUUUAUUUGGUAAUGGACUAAUGGUGGCCAGUUAGCCAAUCACAUAUUGCCUUGAGGCUGUUUUUUUAUGUGAAUUGGCAGUAAGCUCAACAAAAGUAGCUUUCUGUUGAUGGCAUUUCAUGGUGAACUGUAAAUCUGGUUUCACUUUUAGGUCAUCAACCACAUCUGUAAAAUGCUCGGAAAGCAUUAGGACUUGCAUGUUAUUUGGUUAUGGUGGAUAAUUAGCCAAUCAUAUAAUGCUGCAUGGCUGCUGUUGAGUGUGAAUGGUCAGUAAGCCACCAAAACUAGCAACCUGUCGUUGGCCUUUUAUGGUUAUCAAGAAUUUUGGUUUUCCUUUUGAGAUCAUCAAGUACAUUUGUAAGAUGUUCGAUCUUUCACUAGGACUUGCUUUAUUCGGUUAUGGUGGCCAAUUACACUUUUGUCUUCACUUUGAUAGCACAACACUCCAAAAGUGUCAUUGAACCUUUGACCUUCUGAUCUCAAAGGGACAAUCUUCUUGUUGUGCUAUGUUGCAGCAUAUUCUACUUAAAUAUCUACACCACUUAUUAUUCUGGUCUUGAUUUUUGGUUUUUAAUAGAACUUUUCAUCUGAUAGUUCUUUUGUUUUCAGAAUUCUUACUUUGGCUAAGCUUCUCAUCUAGGAUAAUCCUGUGAUUGUAGCUAUCUUUUAUUGAUGAUAGUUUAUGU
RNAcentral lists this unclassified non-coding RNA (2116 nucleotides) under Hevea brasiliensis (rubber tree). The record is from RNAcentral. Lineage: Eukaryota; Viridiplantae; Streptophyta; Magnoliopsida; Malpighiales; Euphorbiaceae.